This 328-nucleotide unclassified non-coding RNA is filed under the name soil metagenome. RNAcentral describes it as "partial contains 5.8S ribosomal RNA, internal transcribed spacer 2, and large subunit ribosomal RNA". The stretch from base 3 to 119 matches the Rfam family "5.8S ribosomal RNA", at positions 38 to 154 of the family's 154-position model. The record is from RNAcentral.
GAGAAGAACGCAGCGAAAUGCGAUAAGUAAUGUGAAUUGCAGAAUUCAGUGAAUCAUCGAAUCUUUGAACGCACAUUGCGCCCUCUGGUAUUCCGGGGGGCAUGCCUGUUCGAGCGUCAUUAUAACCACUCAAGCUUACGCUUGGUAUUGGGGUUCGCGGUCCCGCGGCCCCUAAAAUCAGUGGCGGUGCCUGUCGGCUCUACGCGUAGUAAUACUCCUCGCGAUUGAGUCCGGUAGGUUUACUUGCCAGCAACCCCUAAUUUUUACAGGUUGACCUCGGAUCAGGUAGGGAUACCCGCUGAACUUAAGCAUAUCAAUAAGCGGAGGA